UACUAUUUGAAUAAUAAUUCAUAAAUAAAUUCUAAAUUUAUUGCACUAAUCUGCCAAAAUAGC
This 63-nucleotide transfer RNA is filed under the name Hypoderma lineatum (early cattle grub). RNAcentral describes it as "tRNA-Leu". Lineage: Eukaryota; Metazoa; Arthropoda; Insecta; Diptera; Oestridae. The record is from RNAcentral.